This is a small nuclear RNA of Meriones unguiculatus (Mongolian gerbil), 107 nucleotides long. The record is from Ensembl. Lineage: Eukaryota; Metazoa; Chordata; Mammalia; Rodentia; Muridae.
GUGCUUACUUUAGCAGCACACAUACUAAUACUGAAAGAGUAAAGAGAAGAUUCACAUGGCCGUUGUACAAGAAUGGCAUGCAGAAUUGCAUGGUGUAGAAUAUUCUU